GGGGGCGAAAUUGGCUUCGACGGGGGUUUGGAGCUUUUAGUAGCGAGCUGUUGUGAGGAACAACAUAAAAAGUCUCAAACAAAAUAAACGAAAACAAUAAUUUAGCUUACGCAGCAUAAAUAGCGUCAUCUGUUUAGAGAACCCCACGGCUUUAAAUCAGGUGUCAAAUCAGUGGGAAACAAAGCUCUGUAAUUUAUCAUAGCAGAGGGGGUAUUUAUGAUAAUAUAGUUUAAAAAUCCUGUUUGUCGGAGUUUUAGAUCGAAUAAAAAAAGAUAAACUGCGCUCGGAGAAUCUAACUGUAAAGAGCUUUCGGACGCGGGUUCAACUCCCGCCGCCUCCACCA
RNAcentral lists this transfer-messenger RNA (343 nucleotides) under Peptoniphilus sp. oral taxon 386 str. F0131. It matches the Rfam family "transfer-messenger RNA". Rfam says of the family: Bacterial tmRNA, also known as 10Sa RNA or SsrA, is named for its dual tRNA and mRNA-like properties. Its role is to liberate the mRNA from a stalled ribosome. To accomplish this part of the tmRNA is used as a reading frame that ends in a translation stop signal. The record is from Rfam by way of RNAcentral. Lineage: Bacteria; Bacillati; Bacillota; Tissierellia; Tissierellales; Peptoniphilaceae. RNAcentral also lists the same sequence under 1 other name.